Gallus gallus (chicken) is the source of this 3192-nucleotide long non-coding RNA. RefSeq lists it as uncharacterized. NCBI's taxonomy places the organism in Eukaryota, Metazoa, Chordata, Aves, Galliformes, Phasianidae. The transcript has 3 exons. The record is from RefSeq and is a predicted model, not a curated record.
AGAAGCAUAAAGGUAACAAGCUGAGUUUAGAUGUAUUCAGUUUGUAUGAGAGGAGGUAGUUACAAGUUAGAAAGCAAACAAAAGUUUUUUAGAUUCCAAACCCUGAAAUUUAAGUGGAUGAAUUUGUUACAAGGAAAAAAAAUAAAAGUCUUACUCAACUAUUUCUGUUUCCUAAUGACAAACUUUAUAUCAUAUUUGAAAGUAAGCCUAUCUUUGGAAAAAUGAGUACAGGUCUCCACUAAGAAACAAACUAAAUGUAAAAGAAAACAAAGGGAAACUGGAGUGCAGCUGGAACAGUAGCAGUGGAGUAAGCUACUCUAUGGAGAUGAUGAAACAACUGCUCUGGACUCUAUAGCAGGACCAGCUGCUGUCUCAUAUAGGCAGUCCCCAUAGCACAGCCAGCUGAUGGCACUGAAUGGUAGGAAGAGGAGAAUCCUGUGGCAAAAGCAAGGUCCCGAAAACAGCAGCACUAUCUAACUCGUUCCCAGCCUUGCAUGCAAGAACCUCAGAGUGAGUGACCAUCUGCAAACUACCAUGCAUUCCGUGAUGAGGGGAGAGAAGCAAGUCUGCGUAGUUCUACAGCAGUUCUCCCUCUACCAGAUGCAUCCUAAUCCCUUUGGUAAAUUCAUCCCAGGUGGCUGCUCGGCACUCUGCCCAGCAGUUAAGAAAUUAUUUGAGAUAUGCUGUUUUCUGAUGCUUCCCUCUUUAUGAUUGCUUAAUUGGGAGAUUGCAUUAAUUUGAUUUUAUCAAGGUAAGGUAUGUGUAAAAAUUAAAUUCUCCCCCCUCAAAAACAAUCAAAUCAAUUAAUUCACAAUAACACUCUUCAUUUUGCCUUUAUCCCAGAUAUUUCCCUUUGUUCUAUUCUAAACUGUUUUCUCCCUGUUUUCUUGGUGUAUAAUCUUGAAACUAUUAGUGUAUCUUUACACGGUUGCCUGGCUUUUGCUGAGGCAGUUUUUUCUCUUUUUUUUUGCUUUAUGUAAAACUUGUAUAACAAUGACAAAACCAACAAUUAUUAAGGAUACCUCAUUCUGCUGAUAUGAUAUUCUUAAGACCACUCCCACUCAUUUUAGUUUUCCAUACCUUAAAACAGCAGGGGGGCCUGACUCUAUCUUCUGUGCUGGUUUUCUCAUUUUGUCAUUUGAUUAAUUUUUGUUGCUCCUCUGACAUCCUUUCAAUCUGUUCUCCCAUUUCUAGUUAUGUUUUAUUCAGGCUUAAAUCCAGUAAAACUAGAACAACAGCAACAAACAAACAAACAAACAAAAAAAGCAAACCUAGUAUAUAACAUUUUACAAGCUAAACUUAAGAAAAGGACAAAAUACAUGAUCAGUACCUAUUUUGAUACUCUGGCUCCCACAUUUUCUUUUGAAUUUUGAUUUUAUAGUAUCCCAGUGUAAUAGCUGAUUUAGAAUAAGUUGCAGCAUUAUCUCCUGGAGACGGAAAACUGGAAAGUUUACAACAGAGUUCUGUGUAUUUUGAAACAUAAACCUUUAAUGUCCCAAUCAAUUCUUACUCUCCUAUUCAUUGUCGGGAAAAUAAAAAAAAAGAGGUUUUUUUGAAAAUCCACUCCUAAUUUGUGAUGCUUGACAUAAAAAAAUACACAUCUAGAUCAACAGGACAGAUCCUCAGUUGGCACAAACUGACCAAGUAGCACUAACAACAGGGAAACUGGAUUGAUAACAGCUGGGUAUUUUGCUCAUUUUUAAUCCAGUAUAAUGGUUGUUUGGCUGAGCGAAAUUACAACCAAAGGUCCCAGGAUAUAGUCUUUCAGAAAGUCAUCACACAUUUCAGGAUCUCAAAAAUUGAUGAUUUUUUUCAUAUUUUUGGACCAGUUUCCAUUAUAGCUCAAAUUCUGUAUUAUGCAUAUUUUACUUCUUUAUAAAAAUGAAAUGUGCUUCUCCUCAUUCUGUAUAUUUAACAAAAUAAAUCUAAAAGCAAGAAAUGUCUUAGAGUCAAACAGACUUAUUCUGCUGUAAAACUAAUCUACCUCUGACUUGCUGGGUUUAAAUAGAAUGAAAUGAAGCUAUAUUUAAAAAUGAGAGACAAAGAAUGUUAAAAAUACACAUUUUUGAGACUAAUUUUAUGAUAGAAAAAAAGUGAACAGCCUGUCCUAUGAGCUUCACUUCCAUUCCCAACUGUUGUGAUUCUCUAAGUGCUCAAUACAUAUGAUGCAGUAGCUUCGAAAAUUAAAUGUUUUUUUUUUUUUAACACAUUUGUAACAAAGCAAACAAAACGUACAUGUUUGUGUAUUUGAGAUUUACAGUACAGACAAAAGGAGCUGGAGGGUUAGAUUCUUGGUAUCAAUUAGAGGUACCAUUUGCACAGGUACCAUUUGCACAGGAGGCAGACUGUUGGAUGCAUAUAGAUGUGAAAUAAAAAGAUUGUGUGAAGAAAAUGCAGAUGAUAUGAUAGUGAUUUAAAAUAAAAGAGGGAAAAACUCAACCAAAAUGACAGGAAUGGAGAACAGAGGUGCUUUUGGUACCACAAAGUAUAGGCAGAUGUUUAUAUUCAGAAAUUAUCAUUACCAUGACACUGUGAAAGUUGGAUAGGAAUAUUGUCUCAUCCUACCAACUUCUGAAUCUGUUGAUCAAGUUGGAGCUGUACUUACUGCCAGUAAUGUUAAAAUAAAAUAAAAUAAAAUAAAAUAAAAUAAAAUAAUAUAAUAUAAAAUAGACUUGAUAUUCUGUAAGAUGAAGAAAGCAAACUAAAUAUUACAUUUUCACAAAUUGACCAUCUUCAGCAAAAACUGAAACAGAGAAUUUUAAAAGUUCAAAUGCUCAAGACAUCAUUGACUGCAUCCAAUCUAGUGUUUAAAUGCCUAGAGCUUCAGUAUUGCAAAACCCAGUGUUAAAGACAUGACUACAAGUCAUCUAACACUUUGGGUAUACAUACCCUCAGCAGUUAAUUAGGGAUUUUAACACAGUAAUGUUCAGAAUCUAGUUCACCCCCUUAAUGACUGAAUUCUUUAAAAAUAUUCCGCUACUACGCAGAAGCAAAAGGAGCACUGAUCCAAUUACCAAGAAUGUCCAGCAUUGUGGACACAAAAAUAUGCACAUCUGACUGAACAUCUGGAAAAAGAAUCAUAGAAUCACCGAAUAAUAGAAUUAGCAAGGUAGGAAAAGACCUACAAGGUCAUCCAGUGCAACCGUCCACCUACCACCAAUAUUUCCCACUAAACCAUGUCCCUCAGUACAA